ACGAAGUAGCAAUACUUAGUGGCAGACGGGUGAGUAACAUGUAGGUAUCUGCCCUUUGGCCUGGAAUAACACGAGGAAACUUGUGCUAAUACCGGAUAAGUCUUUACGGAGAAAGCUUUAUGCACCAUUGGAUGAGCCUGCACUUGAUUAGUUUGUUGGUGGGGUAAUGGCCUACCAAGACUGUGAUCAAUAGCUGAUUUGAGAGGAUGAUCAGCCACAUUGGGACUGAGACACGGCCCAAACUCCUACGGGAGGCAGCAGUGGGGAAUCUUGCACAAUGGAGGAAACUCUGAUGCAGCGAUGCCGCGUGAGUGAAGAAGGCCCUUGGGUUGUAAAGCUCUUUCGUCGGGGAAGAAAAUGACUGUACCCGAAUAAGAAGGUCCGGCUAACUUCGUGCCAGCAGCCGCGGUAAUACGAAGGGACCUAGCGUAGUUCGGAAUUACUGGGCUUAAAGAGUUCGUAGGUGGUUGAAAAAAGUUAGUGGUGAAAUCCCAGAGCUUAACUCUGGAACUGCCAUUAAAACUUUUCAGCUNGAGUAUGAUAGAGGAAAGCAAAAUUUCUAGUGGAGAGGGGAAAUUCGUAAAUAUUAAAAAGAAUACCAUUUGCGAAGGCAGCUUUUUGGAUCUUUACUGACCCUGAGGAACCAAAACCUUGGUUAGCGAAAAGGAAAAAAAUACCCUCGAUAAUCCAGGCCCGAAA
Molecule: ribosomal RNA, 699 nt
Filed under: uncultured Alphaproteobacteria bacterium
Lineage: Bacteria; Pseudomonadati; Pseudomonadota; Alphaproteobacteria
Description: bacterial SSU rRNA
Rfam family: Bacterial small subunit ribosomal RNA
Source: RNAcentral